Molecule: unclassified non-coding RNA, 1604 nt
Filed under: Hevea brasiliensis (rubber tree)
Lineage: Eukaryota; Viridiplantae; Streptophyta; Magnoliopsida; Malpighiales; Euphorbiaceae
Source: RNAcentral
AUAUAAAACCAAUAAACCUUUUCGUCUCCUAUCAACAAUGAACACCAAACCCCAUUGACGACGAUUCAACCAAAACAAUCAGAAAAAGAUUAUAUAGAUCUCGUUUUUGUGUUUGUGUUUGUCAAAUCGCAAUUCAGUUCAAUUCAAUUUUGAAAUUUGUAGCAAUGUCAGGUGUAUCACUGCAGUGUGGUGAUUGUGGAACUCUAUUCAAAUCUGUAGCAGAAGCACAAGAACAUGCUGAAGUUACCUCCCAUGCUAACUUCUCUGAAUCUACUGAAGCUGUUCUAAAUCUCGUCUGUACUGCUUGCGGCAAGCCUUGCCGCUCCAAAACGGAGAGUGAUUUGCACACCAAGAGAACUGGGCACAUAGAAUUUACGGACAAGACAGCAGAGGGAGUGAAGCCAAUCAGCUUGGAGGUGCCAAAAGCAAAGGCCGAUGAUGAAGACAUGGCAGAGGUUGGCGAUGACAGUGGUACAGGCCAGCAUGAAGAAAUGGUUGUUCCCGAAGUUGACCAAAAUCUGCUAUCGGAACUUGAGACAAUGGGAUUUUCCAAAGCUAGGGCUAUCCGGGCACUCCACUUUUCUGGCAAUGCCAGCUUGGAGGCUGCUGUAAAUUGGGUUGUAGAGCAUGAAAGUGACCCAGACAUAGAUGAAACACCAAUGGUACCUGCCAGUGCCAAGAAAGGUGAGGCACCAAGGCCUUCUCUUACUCCAGAGGAAAUAAAGAUAAAACAACUAGAGUUGAGGGAGCGUGCUCGUAAAAAGAAAGAAGAGGAAGAGAGACAAAGGGAAAGAGAGAGAGAAAAGGAAAGAAUUAGAAUUGGUAAGGAACUCCUGGAAGCAAAACGUAUUGAGGAAGAUAACGAAAGAAAACGUAUAAUAGCAUUGCGCAAGGCUGAAAAAGCGGAAGAACAAAGAGCUAGGGAGAAAAUUCGUCAGAAGCUGGAAGAAGAUAAGGCAGAAAGAAGAAGGAAGCUCGGUUUGCCAGCAGAGGAUCCUGCUUCUCCCAAACCUUCUACACCUGUUGUGGAGGAAAAAAAGAGCUCUUUUUUGCCUGUCAGACCAGCUACAAAGGCAGAGCGGAUGAGAGAGUGCCUGCGAACUCUUAAACAGACACACAAGGACGACGAGGCUAAAGUCAAGACCGCUUUCAACACACUUUUAACUUACGCAAAGAAUGUCGCUACAAAUCCCAAUGAGGAGAAAUUCCGCAAGAUUAGACUUAGUAAUGCUGCUUUUCAGGAUAGAAUUGGCAAGCUGCAAGGAGGCAUCGAGUUUCUUGAGCACUGUGGAUUUGAGAAAGUUGAAGGAGGUGAAUUCUUGUACCUGCCAAGAGAAAAGGUGGACAUCGCGGUGCUUAACUCAGCUGGAACUGAGUUGAACAAUGCUAUUAAAAAUCCCUUCUUUGGAGUCCUCUAAAUUCUAAUCUCAAUACAUUAGUAAAGAUGAAUAGUAAAGGAUACUUUGUAUGUUCCAACUUUUUCCCCUUUGUUGAGUCAAGGUUUACUUGAGUUUUAUAAACUGACAUUGUUUAAGUUACUUAGAUUUGGUGGAAUCAUGUUCCUUUUUGAACCAUUUUUUAUCUACAAGUUUAAUGGAUCAAGU